GCUCAGUGAGUUUACAUGUUAGAGGGAGUGGGGUAUAGUGACACAGUAACAGAGGGAUUGAAGUCCUGCUCAGUGAGUUUACAUGUUAGAGGGAGUGGGGUAUAGUGACACAGUAACAGAGGGAUGGAGGGCCUGCUCAGUGAGUUUACAUGUUAGAGGGAGUGGGGUAUAGUGACACAGUAACAGAGGGAUUGAGGCCCUGCUCAGUGAGUUUACAUGCUAGAGGGAGUGGGGUAUAGUGACACAGUAACAGAGGGAUUGA
Pelobates cultripes (western spadefoot toad) is the source of this 262-nucleotide non-coding RNA. The record is from the annotation of a GenBank genome assembly. NCBI's taxonomy places the organism in Eukaryota, Metazoa, Chordata, Amphibia, Anura, Pelobatidae.